This 393-nucleotide ribosomal RNA is filed under the name Triticum aestivum (bread wheat). RNAcentral's name for it is "partial small subunit ribosomal RNA". The record is from RNAcentral. Lineage: Eukaryota; Viridiplantae; Streptophyta; Magnoliopsida; Poales; Poaceae.
AUGAAGCCGCCGUCAUCGCCCAUGUUCUGCGUCCGCGAGGCGGACGGCCACGGCCACCACUUCCUCGAGGAGUGCUCCCUCUGCGGCAAGUCCCUCUCCGGCGACAUCUUCAUGUACAGAGGUGACACGCCGUUCUGCAGCGAGGAGUGCAGGCAUCAGCAGAUCGAGGUGGACAGGGCGAGGCACCGGCGGAAGAAGCACGCGGCGGCGCACGCGGUGUCGGCGGCGCGGAAGGAGCAGCACCGGCAGCACCACCAUCACCACCACCACCAUCACCAUCACCGUCAGCACCAGCAGCCGGAGCCGGAGCCGCAGCCGCGGGCGGCUAUGGUGGGCUCCGCCCCGUGGGCCGACGCCGGGUUCGCCGCGAGGAGCCCCGCGUUGCGCGUGUGA